ACCAUACAGAGCCACCUCCGACCUAGAGGUGAUCUCCAGCAUUCUAUUAUCCUUGGAAUUGUCAAGGGGACUCCAGGUGCUUUUAUAUCAUUUGUGAAUGCUGAGCUUGAACAACCUGGAUGUAAUCACUGAGAGCUUCUUCUCUGAGAGAUUAAAUAUGCAAUAUUUUAUAACCCAGUUUAAACAUGUCCCAUGCAAAAUUCAGGAUUGGAUUUCAAUAUGUAAUUUUCUUUUAAUUUUUAAAGAAGUUCUCAUAAUGACUUUUAUUUUAUUAUCUGUAUCUAUGGAAUGAUGAACAAAUCAAAAUACUAAAAUCUACAAAUAAUUUCGUAUUUAAUCAUUAAUCUAGUCUUGUGAAAUGAAAUUUUAACAAAUCAUAAAUUUAUAUAUAAUCAUAAACUAUAUCCGUCAUUAUUUCAUUAGAUUGCUGUUGUCAAAUAACUGAAAUCCAUUAUCCUUACAUAAACUUUUAGUUUCCAAGGCAAUUUAGUCUCUAAGCUCUGAAGAGCUGCCAGUUAAAUAAGUACGGUUUUCUUUUAAGCACAAGGUAGAGAAUACUAAAAUUCAACACGAAAGACAAAAAGAGAAUUAUAGAACAGUAACAACAUGAAAUUAAAUCAAAGAUUUUUUACACAUAAACACAAAUUCUGGUCAGAAAAAACUUUUUAAAAAGUAAUGUUUGGAAGAACUCUUAAAUAUUAUGAGUAAACUCCACUGAUUAGGCGACUCACAUCUAUUGCCUUUUAUCAUUCAUGAACGGACUUCAUUAAAUGAAUCUCCAGACAUUUUAUUUCACUUUUUGCAAGUCUACUCACAAGCAGGUUUAGAAAUAAUGCAAAGAGAAGCCUACAUGAAAAUAAAAUUAAAAUAGCAAAAGAUUUUGGAGGAAGGAAAAUGAACAACUCUCAUUUGUUCUUAAGGAAUCCUAUCCCAUUGAUCUAGCUUUUUGAGCUUGGCAAAAAGAUUGAAAAUAGAUGGAUUAUAGAACUACAAAUGGAGGUUUCGUUUUGAGCUGCAUUCAUUUUCAAUUUGUGGAAUAGGUUGUGAAUAAAACAAAAAAACCAAACAACUGUCUUCCCCAAAAAACUCCAAACAAAACAACACAGGAAAAAGGGGAGUAUCUUUCCAGCAGAUGAAAAGGUUCCUCUUUCCCUUUCCUCUUUUCAAUGCAUGGGAACUAUCAUCUGCUUACUGUUACUCUUUUCCUGCAUUUUUUUAAAUUUUAAAUUUUUAAAAAUUUCUAUUCCCUCCUCAACCUUCAUUUCUGUCCCUCUUUCCUCCUCUCUAACCUCUUUUAUUUCUUUGAAUCUUAUUAUGUAGUAUGACAAAAACUGUGAAACAAUUUUUGUGUGUGUCUACCUAAACUCGGCUAUGGAAGUGUCUCAGAAAGCUGCAUCUUACUGGGGUUCUUCCCUCAAAGGGUAGAGAUGGACUAUCCCAUGGUUCAAUAGAUCUUAAGAAGGCGAAAGUGUGCUUAAAAUAAAUUAGAGAUGUAGCUAAUCUGGAAGCUUUGGUCAUGAAAAUUUGGCUCUUCAUUACCAAAGCUCCUUGAUGUCACCGUUUCUCAGCAAUGACUUUGCCAACCAUCUGGAUGGUUGUUAUUGCUUUUUAAUAUUUCCUUUUCCUCCAAAUUCUGUGUGGCAAUAUCUUAGGACACCAUGAAAACCAAUUAUCACAAUGGAUAAACAUUGUACAGUCAAUCUAGGAGCUAUAGAAAAGAGUGCCAAAUACUUCUGGGUACUGUCUCAUUUCCUUUAGACCAAACUUGAGCAACAGAAGACUCUAGUUUGGUCAUAGUGCACCAACAGUACAUGAGGUUCUGGCAUGUGAAUGACAACUCAUGAAAAAAUUAGAUUUCUUUUUCAGCUGCUAAACUGCACAGAUGGGGUGCGAGAGAAAGAAGAAUAUUUACUGCUUUUGUUUAAAAAGCCCUCUUCCAUUGGACUAGGGAAGGAGGACAGGACUGUGUUGUUAAUGACAUUAUCACAUAACGUUAUUUUUACCAGAUAAACCCUCCUUGCCAUCCUGUACUACUUUUAUGGACAUUCUUCCAACUCUUCUAUUAAUAAUAUCCAUGAACUGUUUAUUGCCUCUUGACACAACUUAGGGUUUUGCUUUCACAACAGAUUUUAAAAAAUACUUUGUGCAAUAAUCUAAAGUGAGGAAAUAUCAUGUGGUUCUGCACCAUACAAUAUUCCUGUAUUCUCUCAUCCCUUCGUGCAGUCCAGUGCUGUCUUUGACCACAGCUGGCUGUUAAAUUGUUGCCCCAGCUGCUUGAAGUUGAAGGGGUUGAUGGUUUAGGUUUUUUUGAAAGGGGAAAAAGGCAUGUGUUACUUUGGCUCAGACUGCUGGCCUAGAGCUGUGCCUCUCACUUUUUCUGUUUAUCCCAUCCACAAUUCAGACAGCUUCAACUCAAAAAAGAUCCAGCAUAAAAGAACUGAAGUCAGGAGGUGUCCUUGUUGUGCAGACACUGAUGUGAGCACUGCUAAGCAAAUAUCUGUGGUCCUGAUGCUGCACAUUACCUGCUCCCCUUAAAGGAAGUCAUUGCAAGCAAGAUUCCAGCAGGCUGAGUCUUGACAUGCUGUAUCCAUCCCCUCUUGUGUCACAGGCCUCAGACUAAGAGUUAUUCAUGUGGCAAACAUCUGGAUUUACAUAGGAGCCAGCAGAGCUAAUCUGUUCUGGCACAGAGGAAGGACAUGUGAAGAGUAGAGCCAACAACUCUAAAUCAGAACCUGGUAAGGGGCAGGCCAGCACCAUGACCCUGUCCAUCCAGCUGGAAAAGUAGAAUUUAGGAGCAGGUUUAGAGAUUACAAAGAAUUACAAAGAUUUUAGGAGAAGGAUUAUUUUGUCUGCCCAAUGUCACAUGGACAGUAUCUAGCACCUUCACAGAAGCUUAUUUCCUAAAGCCAUAAUGAUGUGUGUUGUGUUCCUAAGACUCAUUUAUCAGGAAGGAAAUGAAAUGAAUCAAUAUAAACUCCAAAACAAAAGAGCAACAUCUGACAGGGCUGACAGGAAAGCAAACAAGAAGCUUAGAACACUGCUAAUGCCCAUUAUUAACACUUACACUAGGGCUAGCUCUAGCAGGAAUUGUCUGCCACCAUCCAGAAGCAGAAAUAAAAAAUUAUACUUAAGCCUGUGGGAAACCAUAGUUAUAACUUUUGAUCUAGGACUAAAAGGGUGUAAAAUUGUAAGAGAUAACCUAAGAGAACUCAGAUUCUGCCAGGAAUGCACAUGGAAUUGAUAAGAAAUAGCUUUUCCACAAGGUGUUCAGUAAGGAAGAGGGACAUGGCAGCACCCCUUUCCCCAUGAUACCAAGCUUAGGAGAUGAAAGAUAUCUGCAAACAUGCCUCAAAACCUUGCUUCUUUCAGGAUACAAAACUGCUUCCUGAGUAUUUUAUUGGCUUUUAGAUUCACUGGAGGAACCAGAGAUUGGCAAAGGAUGUUGUACAAAAGUACCAUCAAGCCAUUUGAAAGCUAAAAUCUUAUGAAGGCAACUGAGCAAGCUGAAGGCAUGGAAUCAAGUCCAUUUGAUUUUGUGGGUCCAAUAUUUAUAUGUACCUGUGAGAUGGAAUCACGAUGCUACCUCAGUGGAGGACACAUUUAAGUGCAGUGAUCAUCAAUCAGCCUUCUCACUCUCUUCCAAACAACACUUCCUCUGAUAUUUUCAGCAUCAGAAACAGUGAUUUUUCAAUUUUUUUUUUUUUUCCUGGGAAAAAUAUUUCAGUCACUCAGCAAAUAGUGGUUUCUCCAUGGAUUACACAGAUCUGAGUAUGGCAUCUUUGGCUCAGAAGAGAUCAGGCUCCUUCUUUUAGAUGUGAAAGGCAAAACAGCUAGAAAACAAACAUUAGAGAUAUGAUGAAAACAGGAGUGAGAAUGCAAACGUGUCUUUCCCCAUACUAGAUGUUGAUUAGAUGGAGAGUGCCUGCUGAGAUUGAACAAAUAACAGCCCUUCCUGCCUUUUAUUUUUUGAAGCUAGAAAAAGUUGAUUGCUAAAAAAUAACAUGUCAUGAAAUAUUUUCCAGUUUCAGUAGUACCUUCAUUUUACUUCAGCCCUGAAAAUAUUCAUAUAAAAUGCUGAAAGGUCUAAUGAGACAGUGGUACUUCAACGUUUCUCCCGCUGAUGUCACAGAGUGGUUUAUUGAUUCUAUUUAACUUCUAAUUGGCUCACAUUAUUAAAUUACCAUCAUUCAGGCUAGAUAUUAGUUUAAAUGAUCAAUCAACACAAAAUAAGGUCAAGAUUAUUAGUGACAAACUGGAUAAGCAGAUAAAUAGAUCAAUAGAAAGAAAUAAAGAUAGAUCAAUUAGAAGUUUAGACUAAAUGGAAAAAGUAGGUCGACCUUUUUUUCUCGUUUUUAAUUACAUACCCACUGGCUUUUUCUGUGGGGACUUGAAAUAUUGAAGUCUUAUUCUUCAUUGCAUAAUUAGAAUUCUAAGAUCUGACUGAUCAUGUCAAAUUUUGAAGCAGAACAAAUAGUGAAAACUAGGCACACUGAGAUGUUGAACCAUCAAAUUACAUUAGCUAAGUCAUGGCUUAAUAGAAUCCUCCACUAAUUCCACCAAGUUAAGAUAUGGAGAACAGUGAAAUACUUAAAAAAAGCGCUCCACAUUAAUUAAACAAACUUACUAUAAAUCUGUCUAGACUGGUGCAUAACCUUAAGUUUGAAAGGUUAGAUUAGGACAAUUAUAAACUGAAUGCAUUUUCUCCCUAAUAUAUCCCAAUCAUUACUUAUUGAAAGUAAUUUGUGCUCCUAAUUUAACUAAUAUCCUCCAAACAAGGAUUUCUUUAAUUGACUUUGUUUUGUCACACCACCAAUUCAGGAGCAUGGUAUGAUAUCUAGUGAGCUUUUCCUUUUUACAAAGUGUGUCUGAUCUUUUCUCAGCCACAUCCAGAAAAACAUAUUUUGCCCUCAUUAGCCAAUAGUAGGCUGAAUCCUUCUUAAUGAUCACUAGGGAAUGCUCAGAUUUCUGUACAAACUAGGACAAGCUGUUUCACGUUUUUUUUUUUUUUGCCAUGGCUUUCCCAUUUGAAAAUGACACUUGAUUUUUGCCCUCUUUUCUUUAAAGGGAUUGACAUGUGUAAAAUGAUCUUUAAUGGUAAAAGGAACAAUAAUCAAAAUAUCGCCUCAGGACUGGACAUUAAGAACCUGCUAAUAAUGAUAAAAGGUUUUCCCAAAGGUCCCUCCAGGGAAGAGCUGGGUACAGAGACACUUUUCUGUCUCUUUGUGUGCCUCCAAGGGCUCCCACAGCUGCAGCCUAAAGCCUGGCAAAAUCCUUCUAGAUUCAAACUUCUCCUUCCUUACCAAUCCUGAUUCCUGCCCACUGUGCCAGAAUUUGUAACACUGGAAGAAGAUGAUCAGCAGAAAAUGUUGUGUUCACUGGUGAUCUCAGCCUGCAGGUGCCAGGUGGAUAAAGAAGUCCAGUCCUUGGCUGUGAAAAGCCACACAGGUGGGCACAGGCUGGGAACAGCCCUGCUGAGAAGGACUUGCAAUAGGACAAGGGGUAAUAGUUUUAAAUAAAAAAGGGGUGGUUUAGAUUAUUGAACAAAGAAGAAACUGCAGUCACUCAUGAAAAGUUGCACAACUGUUUCAUGUUUCCAGAAAGUUCAAAAAAGUGAAUGAAAAAAAAACAACAAAUGGGAAAAAAGUAAGAAUUUCAAAUAAUUCUUCCUGACAGCUAGUAAAGACACAUGCUUCCUAAUGUUUUUGCAGUAUAUUUUCAAGUCCCAUUUGCUCACCUUUCUGACCAAAGUAGCUAAUUUUUUCCCUUGUUGUUUCUUCCUUGGUCUUGUUCAAAAACAAGCAAACAAUAAACAAUCUGCAAGGCACUCUGGAGAAUAUUUCAACCCUGCUGUGCUAAAAAAAAAGAUGAAAUAUUGCAUACAAUGACUUCAAAACUUUGCUCGAAUUGUCAUAAAUCACACUUGUCACAUUCAUUUACAUUAGCUGCUGGAUACCGGACUGACUUGACAAUAUACCUAGGCAAAUUACAAACCAAAUAAGAAGAUAAGAAAAUAAGUUUUCUUCGUUGAACUGCUAUUACAUACUACAGAGGUUACCUAAAAAAGUGACAAAGAAGUGAUGGUACAUAUUUUUCUUACUUUUGAGAAAAAACCUGUCAGGAGAAGAAAAUAAAAGAAAAUAUUUUAAAAAGAGAUUUGCAUCACAAGUGAAAAUAUUAGGCUGAGAAAAUCGGAACAGAACAGAUGACCUCAUCUUGUUUUAAAGAGUUACAUUUUCAGGAGCAGACAUAGCUGUUCAAAUAGGUUGCUCACAGACAUUUAGUCAGUGAUUUGAGAUUUGGCAGAAAAAUAAAUGCAAAUUAACCACACUCAGAGAUAUUCAGUGGUUUGUCUCAGGGUGUCCAUCAGUAAUGAACUCCCCUCCAUGCAUCUCUCUUGUGUUUUACUAUGCCUGCCCAAUCCUAGUCAAUGCUAUUAUUAUCAAAAACAACACACUAGAAUUGUAAGUUCACAGCAUAGAGUUAUAUUAAAAAUAAAAAAAAAAAGAAAAAAGAAGAUUUAAACAGACAUAUGAGAAAUAUGUUCUGGGAAACCACUGACAGCUUGGUCUAUUGAUGUUUAGAAAGAGAAAAAAAUGAGAAUUGGAAAAAAAAAAGGAACUCAAUUUAUCACAUAAGGAAAAUGUCUUGCUGCAAUAAAGUUAUAUCUAUCAUCUUUUAGGUGGCUUCUUGCAUGUAAAUACAGGAGUUGUGCACAUGAUGAUCUUCAUCAUUGUACUGAGGAUACUGACAGAUUACAGAACUGACAAGGUCUUUCUAGGACUUAGACAUGUUUAAAAUAUUUCUCCUGUAGCUGCAAAUAAAUCAGAAGAAAAUUUUCAGUGGAAGGCAGGUGUGUCCUUCCUGAUCCCCUUUUGUUGAUGUUUUAUUGAUGCUGCUCCCUGCAUCCCAGUGAUUUGUACUCCACACACCAGCUUGAUGGAAACACGAGACAAUUCCAGAUAUUGGCUGAAACAAAUGCUUGUUCUGUGGAUAUUUUCAGUGGCAGGCAGUGAUCUGCCAUGUAGCUUCAAGGAAGGGUAUAUCAUCUUCAAGAAAAAAGAA
Taeniopygia guttata (zebra finch) is the source of this 7062-nucleotide non-coding RNA. Lineage: Eukaryota; Metazoa; Chordata; Aves; Passeriformes; Estrildidae. The record is from RefSeq and is a predicted model, not a curated record.